AGUGAUUUUCCACCUUCUCAGGACAGGGGUGAUAAACUGGAUUGUGCAGGGAUUAGGCAAAGUGGUUCCACAACCUGAUGACAAGCAGAAACAGCAGACAGAAUCCCAGGAGGUGACUGAGGUUCCAAAAGUGGUGCCAGAAGUAAAGGUGGUGCACACUGAGAUUAAAGUGGUUAAAGUGGAGCCUGAGCCUGAGCCUCCACCUCAAGUCCCUGUGGUGGAGGUGGUUUCUGAUGCAGAGCCUGAAGGAGACAAGCCGUUAACUCCCAGGGUGAUGGAGUGGAUAAAGCAUGGUUUGGAGAAGGUUGUUCCACAGCCGGGACACUCUCCAUCUAUUACAGACACUUCAGAUAAAAAAGAACCUGCUACUAAUACUGCACCUCCAAAGGCACCUGAUCAAUCAGCAGCUGAGGAUGCAACCAAGGGAACAAAUGUGGAGGAGGAAUCCAACGUGGUUAGCUGGAUUGCGCAGGGACUCGGUCGCAUUAUGCCACAGCCUGUUCUGAAGCCAAAAGAGGACACUUUGGAUACAGUUCAGAGCAUUUGCAUCCUGCAGGAAGACUUUGUGCAGGAGGACAACCUGGUGCUGGAGGAGAAACUGGUGCUGGAGGAGAACCUGGUGCUAGAGGAGGUGGACUCAGACUGGGAGCAGCAGCAGGUCGAGCAAGCUUGUUUGCUCAAUGCCAAACUGGAGAAACAGGCUGAAGUUCAUAUGGAGGAUCAGAUUUGCCCCCUGCAGGAUGUCCUAAACAACACCAUACCUGAUAUCUUCAUCACACAGCAGGAGGAUGCUGAGACACAAACAGAGCGCUGGACUCCUCUAAUAGAGAACAUUAGACGCGAGGCUGAGGAAGCUGCCUUGAUCUCCAUACAAGAGAGGCUGGAGCGUGAGCGUCUGGAGGCGGCGAGGAUAGCGGAGGAGUUGGCACGCCAGGCUGCUGAAUUGGCAGUAAGACAGCUGGAGGAGGAACACACUGUAAUCAGAGUCACAGAGUCAGAACGUGUGUCUGAACCAGACAGUGGAGAGCAACUUUCCAAUAUCCAGGAGGAAGA
This is a long non-coding RNA of Ictalurus punctatus (channel catfish), 1053 nucleotides long. NCBI's taxonomy places the organism in Eukaryota, Metazoa, Chordata, Actinopteri, Siluriformes, Ictaluridae. The record is from Ensembl.